AACGUUUCGGGCAUAAGCCCUUCUUCAGGAAUGUAAAUGAAUUGUCCACUGCUGCCCGGCUCCUGACCAUAUGCUGUUCCAUUAUCAGAAACCAGUGAUCAAUACCAAAGCCUUGUUGCCUGUGGAGAGGGUGAUGUUUGACUUCCUUGUACAGCUGCAGUUUGUAUGGUGAAGGUGCUCCCACAACGUGGUUGGGGUGCUAGAUGGUGAAGAUUUGCAGACUGAAAUCUCAAAAUCAUGUGCCAAUCGUGAUUGAGUUAUCCAGAAUUUGACAAACCAAAGAUGGGGAAUUACUCGGCCAAAGUCCUGCAACACUCUACCUCCCAGCAUUGUCGGUCUAUCUGCACCAAAUGGACUGCAAUUGGUUCAAGACAGCAGCUCACUACCAUCUUCUUAAGGGUACCUAGA
Molecule: non-coding RNA, 408 nt
Organism: Chiloscyllium plagiosum (whitespotted bambooshark)
Lineage: Eukaryota; Metazoa; Chordata; Chondrichthyes; Orectolobiformes; Hemiscylliidae
Source: RefSeq, a predicted model, not a curated record